This 253-nucleotide ribosomal RNA is filed under the name uncultured bacterium. Its description in RNAcentral is "partial 16S ribosomal RNA". It matches the Rfam family "Bacterial small subunit ribosomal RNA", at positions 524 to 776 of the family's 1533-position model. The record is from RNAcentral.
UACAGAGGUGGCAAGCGUUGUUCGGAAUUACUGGGCGUAAAGGGCGCGUAGGCGGCCGAUCAAGUCGGGGGUGAAAGCCUGUGGCUCAACCACAGAAUUGCCUUCGAUACUGUUUGGCUUGAGACCGGAAGAGGUAAGUGGAACUGCGAGUGUAGAGGUGAAAUUCGUAGAUAUUCGCAAGAACACCAGUGGCGAAGGCGGCUGACUGGUCCGGUUCUGACGCUGAGGCGCGAAAGCGUGGGGAGCAAACAGG